RNAcentral lists this ribosomal RNA (303 nucleotides) under uncultured soil bacterium. RNAcentral's name for it is "bacterial SSU rRNA". It matches the Rfam family "Bacterial small subunit ribosomal RNA", at positions 26 to 353 of the family's 1533-position model. The record is from RNAcentral.
AGAACGAACGCUGGCGGCAUGCCUAAUACAUGCAAGUCGGACGAACUCUUCGGAGUUAGUGGCGCACGGGUGCGUAACGCGUGGGAAUCUGCCCCUUGGUUCGGAAUAACAGUUGGAAACGACUGCUAAUACCGGAUGAUGACGAAAGUCCAAAGAUUUAUCGCCAAGGGAUGAGCCCGCGUAGGAUUAGCUAGGUUGGUGAGGUAAAGGCUCACCAAGGCAACGAUCCUUAGCUGGUCUGAGAGGAUGAUCAGCCACACUGGGACUGAGACACGGCCCCAGACUCCGUACGGGACGGCAGCA